CAAACGGCUGAGACCGGUUAAUGGACUACAGCUGCCAGCAUGCGCAGCGAGGGGCUCCACCUGCCGCCGCGCCACUCCGUGCGCCGAGGGCGGUUCCAGCACGCCCCGCGGAGGCCGGAUGACCCCCAAGUCACGCCCACGUGACCCAGCGAGGCCCGGCGGGCCCAGAGCGGCGGGAUUCGUUUUGAUAUCGUGGUCCUGCGUCUCCGCGAGACGCCGCUGGGGCGACUUGUCGUGGCGGAAGUUGGACUUCUCGCAGACAACUGCAAGGAUCCUCCCUCUGGACCGGGUGGUCAGGCUCGCUCCAGAGCUGGCUUUGGACUCCGGCUGGCUGAACGGUCCACUCCUUGGUCAGACCUCUUGGAAGGACUGCCCCAGCCAUGUUAUAAAAGGAGGAAACGUCACAGUGGGCAGCCCCCAUUCCUGCGUUAGACAGACAGGAAACAGGCGCACAGCUCAAGACAAUAGACUUGCCUCCUGCUGCGCCCACCAAGAUAGCAGACCCACUACCUGCUGUGUCCAUCAAGUGCUGUGCCGACAGGGCAAUCUUGUGACUAUUGUAAAAGGGACAUUUCAAUCAUAUGUGAAACAUCCUGUUUGGGGUUCUGCAUUGCUACCUGCUUGUCAAAUGAGUAUUGGCCACCCCAGUUCUGUGCAGAGAGGAUGCAAAACAGCAGAGUAUCUGUGGUGCAACUUUCUGGAGCAUCAAUUUUACUACAACGUUUGGAAGAAACAAAGUUAAGUAGUUUCCAAGGUCCGUCCAAGUUGUGGCGUGUCAGCGCUUCAUUCCUCUUUAUGACCAACAACAGUUCAAAAAAAUUUACCUUGAAUGCUGGUGCUUGAGGAGAAGUGGUUUAAUCAGAAGGAAAGGAGGAGGCAGGAGACUCUGGAUCCCUGAAGGACCGUCACUGGAGGAGGCGGCAGGACUCUCAUUCCAGAAUGGGGCUGAAUGUUCACAAAACAGAAACGAAGUUGUGGGAUGAGGUCUAUAUAGCUGUUCCAAGUCGAGUAACUCAUCCAAAGCCCCACAGCUACUGAGGGGCUGCUCUGGGACGCAGCAUCAACUCCACCCGACUCCAGAGCCACCCGCCACCAGAGCACCCUCCUCCUGCAGCUUCCCUCAUCUCCCAGGCUCUGGGGAGGGGUGCUUCUGCAGUGGAAGCAGAGUUCCCUUGAGAUUCACGUCCAUCUAGCACUCUUCACCAUUGGGAAUUAUCCCCUCGAGAGAAUGCGGAGACAUUUAGGAAAGAUUUGGCAUAGUUUAGGGAAAUAGCAGAGGGCUGAGUUUAGGAAACCAAAGCCCAACAUUAUAUAUUUUUUAUUUAUAAUCAUGGGAGAAACUUGAAAACACAUCUAAUGCACUCCACAUGUCUGCAAAUUCUUUUCAUCCCUUUAGGUAUUUGUAGGCUAUUCAUGAUUUUCAACACAGACUAAGUCAAACUACCGUGCCUGGAACAAGCUCUUACUCUGAGAGCAAGAGACGUAAAGACAGACCUGCGAGGAGACGUUUCCCCCUGCUGCCAUUUAGCCAGACAGCUGAGUGAGUCUGAAGCAGUCCUUUGAUAUCAGCAAAGCUUGAGCUGGUGUCUAAGACCCCAACUGAGACGCUACAGUGGGGCCAGUCUCAUAGCCCACACGUGGACUCACGCAGCUGGUGCUUCCCCAACCCCCAGUCAGUGGUUCUUGCCCCUGACUGCACAUUAGAAUCACUUGGGGCUUUUACAGUCCCCCACACCCAUGUGGCAACAGACCAGUUAAGUCAGCAUCCCUGAGUGGGCCCUGGGCGUCAGUAUUUUUAAAGCUUUCUAGGUGAUUGCAGUGCACAGCCAAGGCUGAAACCUCUGCCUCAAGCCAGCAUCUUUUGGUGAGUGGGUUACAAAUGAUUUCUCUAAUAAAUGUGGGAAUGUUUGUCGCUGAGCUGGAGCCUUCAGUCUCACCUGCAUCACCUACUCACGGCCCUUUGCAGGAACCAACCCCUGUGCCUCAUUUUGUUCCUCAUUCACCCUGGUCCCACAGGUCUGAGUACAUGCUGUGCCUGCGGCACUGUACUAGCUGCCGUGGCCUUGGUGAGCUUCACUGUGGGGGUGGACUUUGCUGGAAAAAACUUGCAUCAUAAUAACUCAAAACCAUGCCACUUACCAAAUUGAGUCAAAAAUAGAAAGACCCAGGGGGUCACGCAAGGGUGAGGACAUUGGUAGAUACUUUGGAAAUUAAAAUCCAUCCUGAUGUCAGGAAUGAACAUGUUCCACUUUAAAAUGAAAUGAAACAACACACUAAUGUUAUUCUGAAAUGUCGAAUGUAGAAUUUUUGGACAAAUAUGUAGGAUCUAAAUUUUUUAUUGAUGUAGACCCUGCCUACAGAAAUCUAGGCAGAAAUCAUUCCUGUGGAGCUGGAGGGUUAUGGCAGUGGAUGCACGUGUGUAACCAAGAACUAGAAGCAGC
Molecule: long non-coding RNA, 2441 nt
Filed under: Equus asinus (donkey)
Lineage: Eukaryota; Metazoa; Chordata; Mammalia; Perissodactyla; Equidae
Description: lncRNA (ENSEASG00005032012.1)
Source: RNAcentral